RNAcentral lists this ribosomal RNA (621 nucleotides) under uncultured bacterium. RNAcentral describes it as "bacterial SSU rRNA". It matches the Rfam family "Bacterial small subunit ribosomal RNA", at positions 37 to 647 of the family's 1533-position model. The record is from RNAcentral.
UGGCGGCAGGCCUAAUACAUGCAAGUCGAACGGCAGCACAGCAGAGCUUGCUCUGUGGGUGGCGAGUGGCGGACGGGUGAGGAAUACAUGGGAAUCUGCCCAGUCGUGGGGGAUAACGUAUGGAAACGUACGCUAAUACCGCAUGCGCCCUUUGGGGGAAAGCCGGGGACCUUCGGGCCUGGCGCGAUUGGAUGAGCCCAUGUUCGAUUAGCUAGUUGGCGGGGUAAAGGCCCACCAAGGCGACGAUCGAUAGCUGGUCUGAGAGGAUGAUCAGCCACACUGGGACUGAGACACGGCCCAGACUCCUACGGGAGGCAGCAGUAGGGAAUAUUGGACAAUGGGCGCAAGCCUGAUCCAGCCAUGCCGCGUGAGUGAAGAAGGCCCUCGGGUUGUAAAGCUCUUUUGUUGGGGAAGAAAAGCAGUCGGUUAAUACCUGAUUGUUCUGACGGUACCCAAAGAAUAAGCACCGGCUAACUUCGUGCCAGCAGCCGCGGUAAUACGAAGGGUGCAAGCGUUACUCGGAAUUACUGGGCGUAAAGCGUGCGUAGGUGGUUUGUUAAGUCUGAUGUGAAAGCCCUGGGCUCAACCUGGGAAUGGCACUGGAUACUGGCAAGCUAGAGU